Xenopus laevis (African clawed frog) is the source of this 834-nucleotide long non-coding RNA. RefSeq lists it as uncharacterized. Lineage: Eukaryota; Metazoa; Chordata; Amphibia; Anura; Pipidae. The transcript has 2 exons. The record is from RefSeq and is a predicted model, not a curated record.
UAGGCCAGGCUCAUGGGGCUUUUUUUUUCUUGAUUUUCGGCUUGUCUUUGUGUGUAAGCUCUUUGUUCAUUCCAGGUGAACCGAAAUCAUGUGAUAUGAAAGGGGACAGAGCGGGUUAUUAUAAAGGGUUUUCGGGCUCUGCCGAGGGCUGUCAGUGAGAAGAUGCGAGCUUGGGGGAAGCAUUGAUAUCUGCCUGCGGGGCUGUAUCAUCAGCCAUCUCCUGGCAUCACCACUAUCCCUGUGAAUGACAUAUAGACAAACACCCAUAUAUCAUAUGGGAUAGACAAGUCUGCUUCUAUCCAGACAUCCUACAAUGUCUACUUGGAUUAUAAUAUGGAACCUGCAGUAAGGAGACGGCUGCAAUUCUUGGAUCUCUGACGAUCAUGUAGCUGCGGAUGGAAAUGAAUGCAUCAUCAUAUAGAUAUAUGUAUGUAAUAUAUGUUGACUGUACAUCCGAUGACCAAACCUGGCCGUGCUCUAGUGGCAGGACUGCUGACUGUGCCACAGAAGAUACUUUAGAAGAUAAAGUCAUGCCAUUCUGCUUCUUUGUGGUCUUGGACAGAUGAACCUUCCUCCAACUUCCAAAGGGCACCAGCUGGAUUUUUUCCUGAGGUUCAUAUGGAUCACUGAUUUUAUAAAGGCAUUUACCAUGGACCACACGUGGCAUACUUAUGGACAUUGCCACCAUAUAGGACUUUGCAAUCCCCUCCACAUUCCCUGAGAAAACGUGCGCUAUAUUUCAGAAUAAAUCCUGUACAAGUAAGAUGGAGCUGUAUAUGCUGAUUCUAAUAAAGAGGUGGAACACUGUGCUGUGGUGUCCCACAUUUGAUACCA